Non-coding RNA from Phrynosoma platyrhinos (Desert horned lizard), 72 nucleotides. Lineage: Eukaryota; Metazoa; Chordata; Lepidosauria; Squamata; Phrynosomatidae. The record is from the annotation of a GenBank genome assembly.
GCCAGCAUGGUGCAGUGGUUUCAGCACCAGAGUACAACUCUAGAGACCAGGGUUCAAAUCCCUGCUCAGCCA